RNAcentral lists this ribosomal RNA (254 nucleotides) under uncultured bacterium. RNAcentral describes it as "partial 16S ribosomal RNA". It matches the Rfam family "Bacterial small subunit ribosomal RNA", at positions 524 to 776 of the family's 1533-position model. The record is from RNAcentral.
UACAGAGGUCCCGAGCGUUUGUUCGGAUUCAUUGGGCGUAAAGGGUGCGUAGGCGGCGCGGUAAGUCGGGUGUGAAAUCUCGGAGCUUAACUCCGAAACUGCAUUCGAUACUGCCGUGCUUGAGGACUGGAGAGGAGACUGGAAUUUACGGUGUAGCGGUGAAAUGCGUAGAUAUCGUAAGGAAGACCAGUGGCGAAGGCGGGUCUCUGGACAGUUCCUGACGCUGAGGCACGAAGGCUAGGGGAGCAAACGGG